GAACGAGGAUAUAUCCUUCGGGAUAUAAGCCGAGUGGCACAAGGGUGAGUAAUGCAUAGAUUACCUGCCUUUAGGAUAAGGGGAACUUUGUGAAAACGGAGCUAAUACUUAAUAAUACAAAAGAAAAUAAUUUUCUUUUGUCAAAGGGAGGGUGGCAAUACCUUUCGCCUAGAGAGGGGUUUAUGUCCUAUCAGCUUGUUGGUGGGGUAAUGGCCUACCAAGGCGAAGACGGGUAGCCGGUCUUAGAGGAUGGUCGGCCACACUGGGACUGAGACACUGCCCAGACUUCUACGGAAGGCUGCAGUCGAGAAUCUUUCGCAAUGCCCGAAAGGGUGACGAAGCGACGCCGCGUGGGUGAGGAAGGCCUUCGGGUUGUAAAACCCUGUCAGGAGUUAUGAAAUGUAAGUGCGCUAAUAUCGUGCUUAUUUGACAAAGGCUCCAAAGGAAGCCACGGCUAACUCUGUGCCAGCAGCCGCGGUAAUACAGAGGUGGCGAGCGUUGUUCGGAAUUAUUGGGCGUAAAGAGCACGUAGGUGGGUUUGCAAGUCAGAUGUGAAAGCCUUCUGUUCAACGGAAGAAUUGCAUCUGAAACUGCUAAUCUUGAGUAUAGGAGGGGAGAAUGGAACUUCUGGUGGAGCGGUGAAAUGCGUAGAUAUCAGAAGGAACGCCGGCGGCGAAAGCGAUUCUCUGGCCUAUUACUGACACUCAGUGUGCGAAAGCUAGGGGAGCAAACGGGAUUAGAUACCCCGGUAGUCCUAGCCGUAAACGAU
Molecule: ribosomal RNA, 769 nt
Filed under: uncultured Planctomycetota bacterium
Lineage: Bacteria; Pseudomonadati; Planctomycetota
Description: bacterial SSU rRNA
Rfam family: Bacterial small subunit ribosomal RNA
Source: RNAcentral